AUCGAGGUCGAAUAGUUUGAGGAAGUUCAGAAGUUGUAUAAAGUAUAAACUUUAUAUGUAAAAGCUUAUAGUAUAGGUUCGAAUCCUAUUCUCGAUC
Molecule: transfer RNA, 97 nt
Filed under: Heterostelium pallidum
Lineage: Eukaryota; Evosea; Eumycetozoa; Acytosteliales; Acytosteliaceae
Description: tRNA-Ile
Source: RNAcentral